Long non-coding RNA from Nerophis ophidion (straightnose pipefish), 2603 nucleotides. RefSeq lists it as uncharacterized. The transcript has 3 exons. NCBI's taxonomy places the organism in Eukaryota, Metazoa, Chordata, Actinopteri, Syngnathiformes, Syngnathidae. The record is from RefSeq and is a predicted model, not a curated record.
AUUUAUUGUACAGGAGGAACGGGAUUCAUAUCUCACAGCUCCCUCCUCACCACAUUCUACAGAGGCACUAUAGAGACCCUACUGACCAACAGCAUCUCUGUCUGGACUGCAACCUGCAAUGCCUCAGACUGGAAGUCUCUCCAGAGAGUGUUCCUGCCGUUGGGGAGCAGCUGGUAGCCUGGAGGACACAGACACUGGAAACUGCCAAUAGUGUUUCGGCACUCAUGUUGGCACGGCUUCCUGAGCAGACAUUCGUCCACGUCUACACAAAGAACAAUAAAACAAGAUGUCUGACAACUCUGCCUGGUAAUGCGGGAAACUCCAUGAGGGCGAGAUAGAAUCGGUCUACCAAUGGAAGACACCAGCUGUGGCCGAAGUCUUGCCCUCACUCUGGUUCCAUUAGUGAAGGUCUGUCCCCUCUCCAGCCCCGCACAAGAGCGCCCAUCCCCGAGCAGGUGGGUACCAGGCGGACACAUGCACCUGAAGCUACCCGGCACAUUGCGGCACUGAUAGACGCAAGGACUCGGAGUCUGCAGGCAUUCAUCCACGUCUGAAAUAUACAAGAGCUGCUUGUAAGGUACGACACUCAGAGAAUUUUUUUUGGAACGAGACAAACGCAAUGUCGUACCCAAACAUGGGAGGCCAACUCCCUGCGAUCGGUACCCUCUGGGACAUAUACAACCGUAACCGCCGAAUGUGUUCUGACAGAUCUGUGAGUAGCGACACAUGUGACUCCCGUCCUGACACUCGUCGAUAUCUAGGGGAAAAAAAAAUAUCAGCUUUAUAAUGACCAAAAUAUACAGACUUCCAAUGCACACUCUGCAAAAAGUGAAAUCCAAGUCAAAUUUAAAAUCUCAAAUAAGGGUGAUAUUUCCUUAUUUUCUGUCUGAUUAGAUACUUGUUCUCACAAAGCAGAUUUUAUGUUAGAGCAGGGGUCGGGAACCUUUUUGGCUGAGAGAGCCAUGAAAGCCAAAUAUUUCGAAAUGUAUUUCGGUGAGAGCCAUAUCAUAUUUUUUAACACUGAAUACAACUAAAUGCGUGCAUUUUUAAGUAAGACCAACAUUUUUAGCGUAUAAUAAGUCUUUUAUUCUUUUUAAUAACAUUGUUAUUCUGAAGCUAACCAAUAAUAAAUAAAAUGUCAUGUCUGUUGAUCAUGUUUUUGUUUGGCCAUGUGCUGUUUGUCCUUUGGACUCUUUAAGUUCCUGUUUUUUUCCACUCCCUUGUCUGGUUUCCUUGGUUACUCAUUUUGUCCUCCUGUCUCUGAUGGACAAAAUGCCUGCUCACCUGCUUCCCGAGCAGUAUUUAAGCUUGUCUUUGCCAGUCAGUCGCCCUGGCGUCAAUGUGAUCUUUUCUUGCUCUGUGCUGACUUGUUUCAUGCCUUGCCAUAGUUUCGUGCUUCAUGCCAUGCCAAGUAAGUUUUGUUUGAUUUAUGUUCUUAGUCUGUUUAUGCGUUAGCUUUGUUCCUUAGCCCAAGUUGUGCCUCCGCUGUGAGCGAUUUUUGUUUGUAUCUUUUUUUAGUUCAAAUUAAAUCAUGUUUUUACCUAAAUGCCUUGUCCCGAGUAGUCCGUCUGCCUUCCUGGGGGAAAGACCCUGCAGCAAGCUGCGACCCCCCCCCAUCGUGACAUAAAAUACUUCUUACCAUUAAUGCGACUUCUUGAACGGGUGCGGUAGGAAACGGAUGGAUGGAUUUAAAUGCAUGAGAAUGCUUUAUAUUUUGCACGUUAUUUUUAGCACUGUGAUUUCCAGCGAAAGUAUUCAUAACUAUGGUAUUAAGCAAUGUCAGCUAAGAUUUAUCUGAGAGCCAGAUGCAGUCAUCAAAAGAGCCACAUCUGGCUCUAGAGCCAUAGGUUCCAUACCCCUGUGUUAGAGUGUUUUACUUGUUUUAAGUGUUUCGGUCCUCAAUGAUCUCAGUAAGAUAUUACAGCUUGUUGCUGAGAUUUGAUGACCUAUUUUGAGUAAAACAUGUCUUGUCUUGGGUUUUUUUCUGUCUUGUGAUUUGCAUAUUUUAUUUUGAAAAGCAACCCCUCUUGUUUCAGAUCAUGGGCCCUUCCUCUUGUGUCACCAGUCUGACGUCAUCCCUGACCCUUGAUUGUUUCGACCCUUUUCCCAUUACCAUCAUGUUCUAUUUAAGCUCAUGCCUCCCCUUGUCCUGUGCCAGAUCGUCUCGAGCUUUCGUGUCAAUCUAGCGUCCAUGUCCAUGUCCAUGUUUGUAUUCAUGCCUUGCUUCUUCCCACGUUUACUUCCUUGGAACAAGAAAUCUCUUGCUGUAAUUUUGAAUUUUACUUUUUCCUCCUUUGAGCAACUUUUGUUAUUCUAGCCGUCGUCCAACCUAUUUGGUGAGUUUUUGUAUUGUUCUAAAUUCCUUUUCUUCCUCAAAAUUUAGUGAUUUUUUGUUUAUCUUUAUCGAGUAUUUAUUUAUAGCUUUUUUGUUCUUCCUCCUGUUGGAGCGCUUUGUGUUAUUUUUUAUAGUAGAUACGACUUUAAUUGUAGUUCGUCAUUUUGUUAGUUUUUUCCUCCUAUUCUUUGGAGUGAUUUUUGGUUUAUCUUUUUUCGGAUUUAUUUCCGCGGAUUUUUGUUAUUCAUUAAGUGCAUUAUACUCUGGC